UUCCGAACUGAUGUUCAUUGCAAUAUCUCUCAAAUACUUAGGUCCAAAUAGAUGUAACAAAGAAAAGUGAUAAAUAUGGCUUUCUUGACAGCUGUUUCCAGCUUUGAUAAAAAUAUUUGGGUUUGCAUGUGAAACAUGUGAUGGGAAUUUGUAAAUGAAAUACAAAUACAUUUUGUUUUCAUUGACACCAUCUCAUAUUUGUCUUACAAUGAUCAUUGAUUAGCAUCAGAUGUGUUAUAUCCUGGUCAUGGAAUAGCAUCAAAUGUGUCAUAUCCAGGUCAUGGAAUAGAAUCAAAUGUGUUAUAUCCUGGUCAUGGAAUAGAAUCAAAUGUGUUAUAUCCUGGUCAUGGAUUAGCCUCAUAUCUGUCAUAUCCUGAUCAUGGAAUAUUGUCAUAUAUGUAACACCCUGAUCAGCUUUGUCGUACCCUGAUCAGCUUUGUCAUACCCUGAUCAUGGAAUAUCGUCAUAUUUGUAAUGCCCCUAUCAUAAAAUAGCGUAAUUUUGGUCAGCUGAAACUCGGUGAAGACUAUAUUGUUUUAUGUUGGUACUGAUCAUUUUAAAGUUUGUAUAUAUAUUUGAUAACAUGAAAUAUUAAUAUUGUUAUUUUAGAGAACCAUUUAGUUUGCACUGAACAGAAGAAAUAUGAUAAGGACAUUAUAAGUGUUUUUUUUAAAAGGUUUUCUAUGCAAGUGUGGCAUUACCAUGAUAAAAAACUUGUCAUGAUUGAUGAACAUUUAAAAGCAGUGUUUGUAAGGGGUAAAGAUUCCUGGAGGAUGAAGGAAUUGGUUAGUUUAAGUUUCCCU
Long non-coding RNA from Haliotis rubra (blacklip abalone), 803 nucleotides. RefSeq lists it as uncharacterized. NCBI's taxonomy places the organism in Eukaryota, Metazoa, Mollusca, Gastropoda, Lepetellida, Haliotidae. The record is from RefSeq and is a predicted model, not a curated record. The transcript is spliced from 3 exons.